Long non-coding RNA from Marmota monax (woodchuck), 5722 nucleotides. RefSeq lists it as uncharacterized. The record is from RefSeq and is a predicted model, not a curated record. NCBI's taxonomy places the organism in Eukaryota, Metazoa, Chordata, Mammalia, Rodentia, Sciuridae. The transcript has 4 exons.
GUGGCUGAAACAAAGGUGGUGGGGUGAGGAGGGAGUUAAUAAUUAUGGAGUGGGCAUGACUAUCUUGCCAGGUUUUCCUAUUUCGAUUUUCUUCACCUGGAAUUGAGACUUGGCUGUGCUCAAUCACUUACGCCAACAUGCAGCAUUCUCCUCCGGCCCACACAGCGUGGUGCAGGCAGACAAAGUAAAUUUUUCCACCAGAUCAGAGAAGGCGAUACUUACCACCAGUGGAAAACCAGCCUGUGGCCCAUCCAAGACUAGAAGGAGAAGAUGUGAACUUAAUUUUCAAUUCUGAUUCCUCUGAUUCUCAAUGUCAAGAGUUAAGCAGUAUCUACUGGCCUCCCGGAUGAAGAAAGCAGCUAUCUUAACUUCUUCCCAUCAUCAGCCACAUACAGUGGGCUCAGAGCAAGAGCACCAUCAUCAUGCAUCAUCUUUGGGUUGAUGGAGAGUAUCUCCUCAUAGAAAGGACAAGUUCACUGGUACAAUAUCCAUGACAGUGUCAGCUUGGAGGAAUGUGCUUCCAGCACACACAGCAUGCAGCAGCAGAUCUGCAUCAUCCCUCAGCUAUUGUGAAGGAGAGUCUAUCAGAGGAAGGCACAGCAGUGAAUGUCUGAAACAGGUGUCACUACUGAAGAAUUCUCUCUGAGAGUAAUCAGCUUCCCGUGGAGUAACUUUCUUCUCCUGGAAAUGAAGUCUCAGCAUCAUGAGUAACCAGCCUGUCACAGUAGCCAGAGGAUUCUCCCACACAGGACCUGCUGAAUAAUACCAUACUGGUGCUAACUCUUCCUGCAACUCAUGCAAGGCUGAUAGCUAACUAUCUUGGUGAAUUUAUUUUUAUUGCAAGUAUUGGAAAACAGUUCUAGUGAGCUAGUUAAAAAGGACAUUUGUUGGAAGGAUACCAAAGCCUUCCUUAGGAAUUCAAAGAAAAGUUAAAAAUCCAGUUCCUUAAGAUACAGGACCGAAGAGAUAGUGUCAAGGAGGCUGCUAGGAGCCCAGUGGGACAGGUGAAUUGGACAAAUCAUAGAACCCAAUACACAGGUUGGGCAGUCAGUCACCUGGUGGGGUCUAAUAGUACCAACUAUUAUAAUAGCUUCCUAACUGCUUAAACUUUGAUCUGUUCUUUCCUUCUUCUUCUCUUCAGUGGGGAUAUUGUGGCCACCCUAUUUACUUUAAUUUUAAAAUUACUUUUUCCUUAUAUUAUAGUAAUUACAAUACUAUUUAUCUGUAGUGCUAAAUAUAUUAUCAUUUACAGAUUUCACAUGAAAAAAUUUCCUCUUAUUUUCUAUAUUAUUUGCUUAUGUUGACUCCUGAGACUAAAGGUUUUCCACAUGAUCAAACAAUUUUUAUAACUAACUCACUCUGGUCAUGGAAGAUAGCUUUCUCUCCAUCACAGUGAAUCAAAAAAUUCUCUUCAACUCUGAAAGCUUAUAACCGAUGGGAUUUUUUCUUUGUGACAAGAAUAUCCCCAAACCUAAGAAACCCGGAUUUGAGCAAUUUAGUUUCUUUCUUUCAAAUAUUUCGUUUCCAAAUAAAAUAAUUUUAAAAGCAAUUAUUUCAUCAAUACAUCUCCCCGAAUGGAUGCACAUGAAACUAAUGCUUAAUUACUAAUCACAUAAAGUCAUAAAUUCAUCUUUUUCCAAAAUAAUAGGAUUUAUUUAAGAAUUUAUUUAUGAAUUACUGAUGGAAAAUCAACAGUUUGUUUGGAACUACUUAAGUCUAUGCAUUUCAGAUAUGGUGAAUUUCUGUUUGUGGCCAAAGGAUGCAAAACUUAUUCCUUACAACCCUAGACAUUGUAAAAAAAAAAAUUAUCCUACAUCUAAGAAGUAGACCUAUUUAAGGACUGAAAAUAAAACAAAGCCUUAUUGAAGGCAGUUUCUCCAGCUACACUAUUUACUGGUGUGCUUGCCAACAUGAAUCCAAAGUGCUCUUUCUGGGGAGUCAUCACAUCCAUGUUCCAAAGGUUUAAAAAUCCUUGCAGAGAGGAAAGUCAGUAAUGUGGUCUUUCUCUUUUCUCUGAUUUUACUGGGUCAAAAGAAAAACCUGUAAACAGAGCUUGCUUUAAUCAUCUGCCAAACACAUGGACCCAAGGUUUUCUUCCAAGGGGAGGAGGUCUUGUGGUCAGUCCAAGGGAACAGUACCCACAAGGAGGGAAAAAUAUGCUUCAGGAAGCACCUUCUUCUUAGGUGUACAUACAUUCAACAUUUUUAACUCUCUUGGAAGAUAAUAUUCAGAAGGCAAGAGGCAUCAAUAGUAAAGAAAUAAGCUAUUGGUAGAGAGCACGGAGGCAAUAUAAUAUUUCAUCUAUUCUCAAUAUGGCACUGCACAUGCUUAUAAAUUAACAUGGGUCUGAAAGAAAUCAGGCUGUGGUCAAAUAAAAAUUUGAACUUAAAAUGCCUUAAAACAUGUUUCUAAUCGAUUAUAGGUUUUUGCAUAGAAGCUUUAGAAGGAUAUUACGGUUUGGAAAUAUUUAUAAUCAUAAAGCAAUAAAGCAAAAGGGCAUGAAGAGAGACAUCAGUACCAUGCUCUGGUUUAGCAGAUGAGAACUAGAGAAAUGAGUUCCUCCAAAUGACCUGGUCGUUAUUUAGGAGGUUGUAAACCAGAAUUGGAUUUCACGACUUUUAAUAGUAUUUUCCAGUUCAUUUGGAUUGAAGUAUGAAUUCUGAUUUAAGGAUUUGUGAAAACAAUUUGCAAUUCCACCAUCAAAUAUGGUCUGUGAACUCUUUAUGCUAUGAGAUUUCAUGGAGGACAUUAAAAAGAGUAGGAUAAUCUCUGCCCUAACUAAUCUGUGAAUUAAAUAAUAAUAUGAAUAUCAGGUUCCAUCAGUCAUAGAAAGUGAAAUUCUUAGUAAUAUUUUGCAUAAAUUAAUCGAAUUAAUAAAUUUGAUUAGAACUUUAUAUUUACUUCUAUUCAAAAGCAGAAUGCAGUUAAAUAUGUGCAAUGAUAACCUUGGAAAAAGGAAGCAAUUUGUUCAGGCUUAGUUUCCUUACUUGUAUCAUAGGGAAAAUAAUUGCUACUUGCUAUGAUUGACAGAAGUCUUCAAUAAGAUAACUUCUACAUGUGUAUUGACUUAUUGACAGAAGUUAUCCAUAAGGUAACUUCUACAUGUGUAAACUUGUUCCAUCUACAUUGUGGAUGCUAGUUUCCUUGAGGAAUAACUAAUAUUCUUUUAGGAAUAUUAAAAUCCUCAUAAUUUCAUGACUUCAAUUCUUUAGGAUGAGACAUAGCAUAAAUUCAUUGACACACAAAGAACUCAGAAAUGAAUUCAAAGACAUUGGUUAAGAAUAUUAAUUUAGUUCUCCUUAAUUUUAUUUGGACUUGUCAAACGGCUAUACAAGUUCAGAUCUCCAAUCUUUUGUGUGUCAUUCCUUUAUGAGGCUGGCUUUCAGCUUUGGUAGGUAAGGGCAUUCGCCCCUCAGUACUUGAGUUAUUUCUUCAAAUACCUACUGAUCCGGGGCUCUCCUCAAAAUUAUGUCCAUGAGCAAUUUGUCAAUGUGACCUUAUUUAGAAAUAAGUUCUUUAUAGAUGUAAUCAAGUUGAGGUCAUACUGAAUUACUGUGGGCCCCAAAUUCACUAUGACUAUUGUCCUUGUAACAAGGGUCAUUAGAGAUACAGAAGAUGCAGAUAAAGAAUGCUCAGGGUUGCAGCAAUCACCAGAACAAAGACAGAUCCUUCACUAGAGGUUUCAGAGAGAACCUGUCCCUGCUGACUUUUUGGUAUUGGACAUCUGGACUCUAAGAACUGCCAGAGAAUAUACUUCUCUUCUUGAAAGACACUCAGUUUGUGGUAAUUUGUUACAGCAACCCCAGGAAACUAAUGCACUGGCUCGUCUGAAGGUCAUGAGGUUUGCCAGUGAUUCUGUAGACCAUCCUCUGUACUAUACCAGUUUGAAUGGAAUUCCCUUAAUUUUCCAGCCUUGAUACAGGAUUUGGAUUUCUGUAAUCUACACCAUCCCUAUUAUUUCCUUCAGAGAAAGAAUGAUGAAAAAUGAUGUCACCUCAAGUCUCUCUUCCAAGGAGUCCAGACUUAUAUUCUUCUCUUCGACAUUAUGACUUAGACUCUCUUUGGGACCAGACAAGUUCCCAGUCCUAAUGAAGCAGAGAACUGCAAAAUCCAGAAUGCCUUGGAGAAGUAUCAUUAGUGAGCAAUUAUGACAACUGGGAAUUUUAGGCAAGAACAUAUUUAUGGUUAAUUUGCCUUCUGGAUAUUAAAGUGAGUUUUAGCAUUUGGACCUUCCCUAUUUGAACUUCCUCAUUAAUCCCUUUCUAUAGAGAAGGUGCAUAAGACAUGGUGUGAGAAGUGGGUUUCUAUUCACUGGAGUGCACUGUAGUUUCUCAGUUAAUGUCAGACUAAGCUCAUAUAUGCCAUCUUGGGUGAGUGUGACAUAUUUGACUUCAUUCAUAUGAUAUUAAUAUUAAAUGUAAAGGGCAGUAUAUUAAAAUGUAUAAUAUAGAGUAAACCUCCUUAAUAUUUACUAGCCAUAUAAAGAGUAUAUGCACGUAAACAUUUAAUAUUAAUCAGUAUAUUUCAUCUGUCUUUUCCAUUCCAGUCUUCACUCCAUUAAAAAACAAUUGCAGGAAACUUCCAUUUGGGCCUCUGGGUCAUUCCUCAUUCAAAAAGUCCUUUCAACAAACAAAGCUGUGUGCAGCCCUGAGCUGGAACAAAAAACUACAAAAAAUGAAGGCCAAACAUAGUUCUAUGUUUCAGAACUAAUAUUUCUAUAAUGGGCAAACACACACACACACACACACACACACACACACACACACACUUAGGACAAAAUGGAAAAGGACUGUGUAUAUGAAGAAAAAAGAUCAAUUAGCUCUUCAUGAGAGAGUCAAAUCAAUCUUCAGAGAUAAAAUGUGAAUAUGUGAACUGGUCUUAGGAAGUGAGAAGGUGUGAGAAGGGCCAGGGGAAGGUCUGCAAAAGUAGGUUCUUAAACUCAUGUCCUGUCCAAGCAACACUGUUUUCAGACCCGAUUAAUCUACCUGCAGCACAGUUCUGCACAUCCCUUGUCAUAUCUCUCCUGCCCUUACUCUGUACCUGUUGCUUCCAUAGCAACGUUUUGACACCUCAGCUGGAAUUUAAGACAUUCCAUAAUCAUAUUUCAAUUUUAUUUCUGUUUUUUCCUAUCCCCUACUCUGCUCCCUCUGCCCAGCAUUUCCUAGGACGUUGCCUUCAUACCUGCAAGUUUCUAAUUCUACUUCCUUUAACCAUUUUCAUCCAGUUUCCAAUAUUUCAGAACCCAGCUUAACAUCACCUCCUCCAGAAAUUCUUCUUUUUACUUUCAGUAGAAACCACUUUCUCCAUUCCUCUCUCAUGAUGCGUGUGAUGAAUUGUAUUAUAUUUCUCAAAUAUUUGCAGCCUUUGCAAUGGUGUCUAUCCCCAUGUCUUCUCCCUGGUGCUCUGCUGACAUCAGAGGGGGCCAAUGACGUUCCCUAGUCAAUGGAACCUGAGAGAAAGUGGUGUGCCAUUUCUAUACAGAAGCUCUCUGUGCUGUUCCACCUGAUGCUGCCAUAAAGCCAACAUGUCCCACAGGGGCCAUUCCUUCUGCCUGAUUCCAGGGAUGAUGGCAACAUGGAACAGAAGAGCAGCUGAGCAUGAAGUACUGUUACUGCAUGAGAACUGUUGAGGCUACUUGUAGUUGUAUUAUCAAUGAAUAGUCUACUGUAAGAUCAUCUGUAUGACAGGCCUUAUUUUCCUUCAUAAAAGAUCAAUAUUUGUA